AAACCUUUUUUCCUCCGUCGUAUCCAAGUGGAGAAGACGACGAUGUCGCAGCUCUUAUCUUCUCCUCCAAUGGCGGCAAACUCCAAAACCUUCUUAACCCAUCGGUUCCCAGAAGCUCGUGUUCUCAACGCCGCCGGUGGUUUUGUAGGAAAACGGCAUGGCUUCGCCGUGAGACCGACGGAGAGGGUGAAGCUAACGGUGAAGUCUCGGUAUAGCGACUCAUCUUCGCCGGCUUACUCUCCACAAAAUGGUAAAACCCACUUGAAAAAAAGCUUGUUCCUUUUUGUUUGAAUACUGAAAAAUGGAAGCUUGGAAUCCAGAAACAUCGAAAGCAUAGAGCUCUCAUAGUGUAUGUGUGUUUGUUUGGAUUAGGGGAAGGAUCUUCGCCACGGUUUUAUGUGGGUCAUUCGAUUUACAAAGGGAAGGCUGCUCUUACGAUAGAGCCUCGUGCGCCCGAGUUUGUGGCUUUAGAAGUAUGUCUCUUUUACCAAAUCUCUAUUGAGUCUUCUCUCUGUAGAUCUUAGAUUGGUCUCCGUUGUCUUUGUUCAGUCUGGUGCGUUCAAGCUUUCGAAGGAAGGGUUCUUGCUGCUCCAGUUUGCUCCUGCAGCUGGUGUUCGUCAGUACGAUUGGAGCAGGAAACAGGUCUGGUGUUAUCCGUUACUUAGUAGUCUAUGGAAUUGUGAUGAUGAUCAUGAACUUGGUUUUGUGAUAGAAGUUUGAUUGGGGUAAGUUGAUGUUUUGAUUUGAAUUGAUGCAGGUGUUCUCGUUAUCAGUUACAGAGAUUGGUAAUGUAGUUAGCCUCGGGCCGAGGGAAUCAUGUGAGUUCUUCCAUGAUCCUAACAAGGGAAAAGGGUAUGCUGAGGACCCUGUGAGAUCUAUUUGAUUACUUGGAUUAUGUUGUUGUUUUAGUUCUGUUUCGUGAAUCGAUGUUGUGUUAUGGUUGUUGUAGUAGUGAUGAAGGUAAAGUGAGGAAGGUACUGAAAGUUGAGCCCCUUCCAGAUGGUUCUGGCCGCUUCUUUAACCUGAGUAAGUGAAUCUUCCUUUUUUCGUUUCUUUCAUGGACUAAAAGCUCUUCUGAUAUCCACCAUUGUUGGUGUUUUUUGCAUGAAGGCGUUCAAAACAAGCUUUUGAAUGUAGAUGAGAGUGUGUACAUACCAAUCACCAAAGCAGAGUUUGCUGUUCUUAUCUCUGCUUUCAACGUAAGAUCUCUCUCACUGUCUCUUAAUCUCUUUGUAUAGAACCAUUUGCCUUUAUAUUAACUUUUAUACAUUGUGUCAGCAGUUCAUCUUGCCGCACCUUAUAGGCUGGCAAGCGUUUGCAAGCUCUAUCAAACCAGAAGACUCUAACCGUCUUAACAAUGCGUCCCCAAAGUAUGGAGGAGACUACGAAUGGAGUAGAUGAUUGAGAACUAUACAGACAACCCUGCAAGCUCGGUUCUUGUGUCCAUCCCAUCUUUUUGUUAUCGCUAUCAACGAGUGGCAGUAGAAGUAGUAGUGUUUUAGACCAAAUGGGAUGUGUUGUUGUGUAGGAAAAACUCAUUUUGUGUUUUACAAAUUUUGUUUUUAGUCAUGAGCAAACGGUUAGAAUUUUGGUAAUACAAAGAAUCAACUUGAUCACAAAGGGUCUUCACUACACCUUCUAAGAAGGCAUAUAGGCAAAAGUUCUCGAUCCCGAGGUCAUAAACCAAGGAUUGGAUUUGCAGUGUUAGUAGUGUUCUAAAAUACGGUUUACGGUAACCGACAAUAUUGUUUUCAUGUUAUACAGUGUUUUAUGCAGAUUUAUAUAAUUCAGGCGAAUGAUAGCGUUUAGACGGACCUACAAAGAGAAAGAAAUCGUUGUGUGCUUGAUCGCAUCAUCUGUUUUACGUGCUCCGAAUCAAGACAAUACCAGUAGUCCUCAAAGAGAACCCUGUUCUUGCUCAAACAAACACCUGGAAGUUUAACAAGUUGCUUCUCAUUUGCGGAAAGUAAACCUCCGUUGUAGGCCUGUGAUUUCGGUUUUUCGAAACCGAACCGAACCGAUUUUUCGAUUUUCGGUUAACCGAUUUUUUUGGAAAAAAUUCCGAAGAAAACCGAAUUUUAAUUCGGUUCAAUUCGGUUCGGUUUUCGGUUAUUUCCGGUUUUUGAUUUUAUUCCAAAAAAAAAACAAAUCAACAUUUUCAAUAAAAAAAUCGGAUCACUCGGUUAAUUUCGGGUAUUUACAGUUCCUAUCGGGUAUCGAUUACCCAAGGUUGUUUCGGUUAUGCCUCUGUUUUCACCUGCCCAAUCAAAUAAUCAUGCAAUCAACAAUAGAAAAAUAAUCUCCAAUAUCAAAACCAACUUAUAUUCGAUUCACCAAGUUAAAACAUUCAAAAGAGAUCACUCUCAAACAUGAAAAUUCAAAAAAGAAAACAAUCUGAAUCUCUUUUGCAAAGAUCAGACUUUGAAAGAUACAUAGAUUCAUGAAGUUCAAAAGGAUAAGUUGUCCAAAAGAGAGUGAUAGGCUAAGUUGGUUUUGACUUCCUCGACAUUCCAACCUACAAGUUUAUGAAGAAAAUCAGUAAAAACAGGGAGAAGAACAAACUACAAGAAACUAUACAAAUAAGAGAGCAACAGAUUACCUCUAAUGAUCAGAUUCACUCGGAAUUUGCAAAGACUCUACAUAAUGUCAAAGGCAGUUAGGAACUUAUGACUGUGAACAUAUAAAAAUUGAAGGAAAAUAGUUAAAUGAUUACCUAAUGACUCAUGAAAAUCGAGUUCCUCAAACAUCUGAACCAAGCUUGCAACCUUCUCAGCCUGGAUGUUGUUUCGAAGCCACUGUUGUAGGCAGACAAGAGCUUCAAUCAUAUAUGGAGUCAGACAACUACGAAACGGAUCUAAAAUCCUACCACUUGUACUGAAUGCUGACUUUAAAGCAACAUAGGAGACUUGAACAGCUAGCACAUCUUUUGCUAGUUCAGACAAGAUUGGAAACUUACAAGAGUUCUUCCUCCACCAAGAUAACACAUUGUAGUCCAAGCCGAAGUUGUUUGAGCCUCGUGGUACUGGUUUUUCCAUCAAGUAGAUGUCGAGUUCACUGCUACCUUCUUCAUUUGCUGCCUCUGAAACCAUCUUUGAAUACAAAGAAUCUCUCCUCUCAAAGUCCUCGUCAUCGUCAUCAGAGAUAUCAAACAUGGUUCCAACUUCACCUUCCCUUGACAUUCUUUUUUUAAAAUACCAAAUCAAAAACAAACCUCCUUGAGCUCCUCCAUUCAUGACAGUUAUCUGCCGCGACGAGGAUAUCUGACGGACCUCCAUAGCUAACCGUUGCAUCUACAACAUCCCACACUUUCUAACUCAAACAAUCUCUUCACCUCAAAAAGACUCACACACAACAGUACCUGAGUAGCCAUGUCAUCAGAAUCGUCAUCUGAAUGAUCUCCUGACCCCUCAAAUCGCUUCACCAAAGACUUCAAAAAAACAAAAAAAAGGAACCUUUUGGACUAAACCCUUCUCAUUCAAAACUCAGAAGAACAAGUUAAAAGCUUUACUACCUGUAGCUCCCCCAAAAGAUCCGCCAUUUUUCCAUUCUUCACAAGGAUUGUACUUGUGUAACCUUUCACAUUCGAAAACCAAUAAGCAACAAAAGAGAGUUAGAUAAAUCUUCGGAGAGACUCCACAGUGAUGAUCGAGAAACGUAGACCCCUAGUUACCUGCUCCAGCUAGAAUCAAAAUCCUCGUUAACCCAAUACCGGAUUGCAUAGCCAUUGUCAAUAAAAGAGUUGUCUUUAUUCUUCUUCUUCUUCUUCGUCGAGGUCUGAAACUUAGCUCUCGCCGGCGUAAUAAACCUCCCCGUCAAGCUUGCUCAAUGCUGGUUUUGCGGAACGGGGUCGUUUUAUUAAAACAAAUAUCGGCUGUUGAUGAUGAUGCGCACAAGCGUAAUAAACAAAUCUGAACCGUACAUUUUAAUUCUAUUGGCCCAAUUUUGUGAUAAACUGUCAAGCUGCUCAACGCCGGUUUAUAGUAAACGCUGUCGUUUUACGAAACUAGUCUGGGCCGUGUAUUAAAUAAAUCUGAAUCGUUGAUUUAAAUUUUUUAAGUAAAAACUAUUGGGCCAAUUUUAUAAAGAUCUUAAAAUUAUCGAGUAAAAACGAAUUAAUACAAAAGUUUAUCUCUCCUUAGUUGAAAUUUGAAACCUUUUUUCCUCCGUCGUAUCCAAGUGGAGAAGACGACGAUGUCGCAGCUCUUAUCUUCUCCUCCAAUGGCGGCAAACUCCAAAACCUUCUUAACCCAUCGGUUCCCAGAAGCUCGUGUUCUCAACGCCGCCGGUGGUUUUGUAGGAAAACGGCAUGGCUUCGCCGUGAGACCGACGGAGAGGGUGAAGCUAACGGUGAAGUCUCGGUAUAGCGACUCAUCUUCGCCGGC
Molecule: long non-coding RNA, 4382 nt
Filed under: Brassica napus (rape)
Lineage: Eukaryota; Viridiplantae; Streptophyta; Magnoliopsida; Brassicales; Brassicaceae
Description: long non-coding RNA (BNAP_LNC020357)
Source: RNAcentral